This 433-nucleotide ribosomal RNA is filed under the name uncultured bacterium. RNAcentral's name for it is "partial 16S ribosomal RNA". It matches the Rfam family "Bacterial small subunit ribosomal RNA", at positions 29 to 507 of the family's 1533-position model. The record is from RNAcentral.
AACGAACGCUGGCGGCAUGCCUAACACAUGCAAGUCGAACGAAACCUUCGGGUCUAGUGGCGCACGGGUGCGUAACGCGUGGGAACCUGCCCUUAGGUUCGGAAUAACUCCCCGACAGGGGUGCUAAUCCCGGAUAAUGUCUUCGGACCAACGAUUUAUCGCCUUUGGAUGGGCCCGCGUUGGAUUAGCUAGUUGGUAGGGUAACAGCCUACCAAAGCGACGAUCCAUAGCUGGUCUGAGAGGAUGAUCAGCCACACUGGGACUGAGACACGGCCCAGACUCCUACGGGAGGCAGCAGUGGGGAAUAUUGGACAAUGGGCGAAAGCCUGAUGCAGCAAUGCCGCGUGAGUGAUGAAGGCCUUAGGGAUGUAAAGCUCUUUUAGCCGGGAUGAUAAUGACAGUACCGGGAGAAUAAGCUCCGGCUAACUCCGUG